RNAcentral lists this ribosomal RNA (564 nucleotides) under Triticum aestivum (bread wheat). Its description in RNAcentral is "partial small subunit ribosomal RNA". The record is from RNAcentral. Lineage: Eukaryota; Viridiplantae; Streptophyta; Magnoliopsida; Poales; Poaceae.
AUGGCGACGCUGCCCCUCCUCCUCGCCGUUCCCCUCUUGCUGCUGCUGCUGGGGGCGGGGGUUGACCUCGUGGAGGAGGUGGAGGUCGGGGGCGGACCGGGCGCGCGAGGCCCCGGCGAGCGGGAAGUCCCCGGCCGCGGCGUCGGCGGCGAUGGGGGCCUUGACGGCGGCGGAGUCCUCGUUGUAGAGGAAGAUGGCGACGAGGAAGAUGGAGACGAGGAGGCCCGCGAGCGAGAGCGGCGCGCCGGGCCUGCGCGCGGGCGCCUCCUCCCCCUCCCCCUGCUUGGCGGCCGCAGGCGCCGCCGCGAACGGCGACUUCCGGCGCAGCAUCGCCGCCGCCCCCGCCCCCGCCCGCCCCUUCGCCCCCGCCGCCAGCAAGAAGUCAGGCAAGCCCAAGCUCGCGCCUUUCCCCCGCAGAGAUCGACCGCCGCCUCCUCCCCCCGCUGGCGCGUCUGGAAACUGGAGAUCAGCCGGGAUCUCCUCGGGCUCCCCUCGCCGCGUCCGGUGGUCGGAGAGGCGGAUCGCUCCGGUCAGCGGCGACUGCGGCCGGCGCCCCCCUUGUGA